UUCGGACUGGCUCAGGGAGGUCGGCAACGACCACCCAGAGCCGGAAAGUUGGUCAAACUCGGUCAUUUAGAGGAAGUAAAAGUCGUAACAAGGUCUCCGUAGGUGAACCUGCGGAGGGAUCAUU
RNAcentral lists this ribosomal RNA (124 nucleotides) under Uwebraunia dekkeri. RNAcentral describes it as "partial 18S ribosomal RNA". It matches the Rfam family "Eukaryotic small subunit ribosomal RNA", at positions 1709 to 1830 of the family's 1831-position model. Lineage: Eukaryota; Fungi; Ascomycota; Dothideomycetes; Mycosphaerellales; Dissoconiaceae. The record is from RNAcentral.